ACCGAUGAAGGCGAUUAUCAGGUCAAGCUUAAAAACCUGACGCGCUUUUUGGAAGGUGGUGACAAGGGCAAAGUCACACUGCGCUUCCGUGGUCGUGAAAUGGCGCACCAGGAUAUCGGCCGUAAGCUGAUGGAAAGGAUCGCGGCAGACCUGGAAGAGAUCGGAGUGGUAGAGGCCUUUCCUAAAAUGGAAGGCCGCCAGAUGAUCAUGAUUAUUGCCCCGAAAAAGAAGUGAUCCAACGGCGAUGUCAACGGGCCACCGUUAAACCGGUGGUCGGCCCUGGGUUUUCUAAAAAAUAUCGAGCGGAGUUUUCCUCAUGCCGA
This 323-nucleotide unclassified non-coding RNA is filed under the name Vreelandella titanicae. Its description in RNAcentral is "Halomonas titanicae Long range pseudoknot". Lineage: Bacteria; Pseudomonadati; Pseudomonadota; Gammaproteobacteria; Oceanospirillales; Halomonadaceae. The record is from RNAcentral.